CAGCCACAUCAUCAGGAAGGUAGGGGCUUUUUGUGACACCUGUCACUUAACCAAUUCAAUCGUAAAAUCAUAAAAUCUUCAGUGUAAUCCGGUUAUUUCAUAACUUGGCUUUUAUUACAGUUUGGUAUUAAGCCCAAUCAAUAGAUUAAGACAAGCCCAAUUAACAUUAGGUUUCUUCUUCCUUUCACGAUUGCUACCUUCGCGAAGAAAUUUUCAGAAACUUGAAGCGCCUUUCUGAUCUCCAUAACGUCUCAACCUUCCAUUAAUAUGUUUCUAACUCCGCUUGAUUAAUCCACUCCUCCCAUUGGAAGCAUUCAGUCAGACCUCUUCGCAUCUCCCUUCACUACUCCUAUCUAAAUUCAUCCAAUCUUUCAUGCAAUCAGAAUCGUGUUCCUCUAGAGGAGCAGAAGAUAAAGUCAUGGCCAUGAGUUUUGUUAGAUCCACCGGAAAAUCUUGAAUUUCUACGGUUCCAAAGGCAAAGCGAUUUAUCAGGUUUGUGUUUACUCCAUUCAUUUUCAUUAUUAAUCUCUUUUCUAAACCCGCGUUCCGAUCCUGUCGGAGCUCCACCCGUGACCACCAUGAGAUCAAUAUCAGUCCUCAAGCUUCAUUUGGCAGGGGAAUAAUUUUGAAAAACGUCAAAUGCGGUGGAAAGACUUUCCGUCACCGGCUGAUCCGGAAAUCAAGUGAUUGAAUCACGAGCAGGGAAAGAUGGGUUUGGGUUUGAUCUUGGACGCAACGAAGGAUGAUGAACCAGAUCCAUAUACUCGCGGACAUGGUGGGUACUUAGUUAGUCUCGGACCCGAUAUGCUACUUUUUAAAGAUCACUUUCUCCUCAAUUUGUUCGUUUAUGUCCUCUUCUAUAAAGCAUUGAUUUUAAGAUAAGAACUAUUGAGCUUGAUACCAAACGCAUCAAGCUCCAGAUUUGGGAUACUGCUGGUCAAGAACGUUUUCGAACCAUCACCACUUGUCAGUGUACUUUCGUUCUAAUAGUGUUCUUAGCGUCCGUUGUCCCACUGAAAACUGAAUUAGAGAGGAUUAAGAGUCACUAGCAGAAAGGAUCUCUUUUUUUCUUUCUGUGCAGUCUACUUAAUGCUAUGGAUGAUGCUUUGAGGAUAUUUAGUUUUUCUUAUUCAACAAAGAAGAUACUUCUCUCACAUUUUUGUCUCCGUAUGAUAAGUUAGUAUUUCACUGAUUUUGUUUUGAUAGUGUUGUUACUUUGUUUCCUUUCUUAUGGGUCUCAUUUUCACAUAAUCUCUUCUUGUCUACAUGCAUUUUUCAUCCAAGCCUCAGUGAACAGAAGCAACAACGAUUUCAAGCUUUUAGAUUCAAUCGUUGCGAUCUGACUCCACGAGUUUACUAAGUUGGUCAAAGUCCAUGCUGUUGCUAAUCCCAUCCCAACUGAGAUGUUCAUGUUUCGUGAGCUCGAGCAAGUGAUGGCGUUGACAAAUACAAAUGUCGAGUUGCAGACAUCAUUGAUGAGAUUUGCGAGACCAUGACAACAUACGAUGAUCAAAGCCAUACGACUCAAUGUGUGAUGGUGAACAUCCGAGUUGAUAAGGACAUGAUUGUCUGCUUAAGCGUUUUUGACAGCCUUACUGAACUCCUUCACAAAAGACUGGAAACUGGUGUCUGCCAGGCUAGAGUGAUGAUGCGACCAGCAACAACCCCAAGUUUGUAGGAGAUAGAACCUGUUCACACAUAGGAGUAUAGGACCUUCUUCCUCAAGUUCUGCUUUCAUCCCACUUCCAGAUUGUGUGCCACAGCCGGUGGUGACUCCACCAGUGUGACACAGUAAGGUGGUGUCAAGGAGCUGGAGACUGUUUCAUUAGCGGAGUUGACGACCUACUUUCUGAAGUCGCCACCACAAGCAGGUUAUUGAGUUUCUAUACACCACCAAAGUUUUAUAGGAACUACAAACAGAUGGUGCUACAUCUCAUGUGCCAAGUGUUUCAGAAAACUACAGCGUGAAAUUUCCUAACGCAAGUGCUGUUAAUGUUCUCAGGUGAAGCGGGUGAAGAUUGGGCUGUAUUGUAGCAUCUGUAUGAGUAAUGUGAGAAAUGUCAGGGCUGUAGAGGUUCCUCAUCCAAUGCUUUGUAAUCUGACCAUAAUAUAAGCAUAUACUAUACUGUUUCAUGUUAUUUAGGAUUUACUGAUGUGUGCUUUGAUGAACUUCAGGGACAAGGUGAGGAGCAAGACCCAAGUCCCAAGGAACCCAUCCAAAAAAGCCUGGACUUAGUUUCCUGCAUUGAGCACUAUACAGGAACAUAUCCAUUGGUUUCUCCCAUGGUUAAUUGAACUCACUUUAUGUUUUCCAAAUAAGGGUUAAGACACUUAGUCCACCAUCUAAUUCAAGAUUUCUCUCCCUUUUGGUUCGGUUACUUAGUAAACAUUUGGGUUGUUAAUUUUACAUAUAUAUAUAUAUAUAUAUAUAUGCAAGCACUCCUUACCAAAUCCACUAUGAAAACAAAAUUAAAAAAUCCAUUUACAUUAUAUUUUCAUCAUGUUUAGUCAAAAAGACGAUCACCUAACACAAAAACUUCUGUAACAUAUUGAGAAUCAUCACCUAACACAAAAAUCUAUUGUAACAUACUGAGAAGUGAGAAUCAUACCACUCAUACUUCAGUAAUUUACAUAUAAAGGAAAUCAAGUCUCUUCGUAGCCUAACUCUAUUUUUCUUUAAUGUAAGACUCUAGAUUCGUUUAGAGAUUUAGAGAUUAAUCUCUUCUCACUUACUGCUACUCAUUUUUCCUAGAGGACCUGCAUCAUUUUUACCCAAAAAUCACGCCAAGAACCUCCAUUAAGAUACUUUGAUUCUGUAGGUUUCCCCAUGAUAUCUGAAAAUAAUAACGGGUGAAAGUUUCCUGACUUCAUGUCUACACUUGGGAUGCAAGUAAACUGGAGUUAAAUUACAAAAAAAAAAAUAAGAAAAAGUAAACUGGAUUUUAGAACCAGUUCCAUAGCAGUUGGGUGGCCCACGUCUCUGAUUGUACUCUAAGUCCAACUACUCCAAAUAUUCGUUGUUGUUAAUAAGUAUUUAGUUAUUUACUACUGCAGUUACCCAUCUAUUGGUAGCAGCUGUGCAUGUGGUUACCUUAAAUUAGUAAUGUUCACUAAAAACAACCCUCUCUUAACCCAACCAUCCAAACCUUACUUCCGUCACUUACAAUCUUUAUCAAUGAUCAAAGCAUUCGGUGAUUAACUUUCAUGUUCGUUAUGUUCCCUAUUUAAACUCUCUUAGCGCUUUUAUCCCAUACUCUGAAGCAUCAAACCUUGCUUCUUUUAACUCGGCUUACAUAUGAUCUUCACACAAUGACAUGCGUACGUCGCCUACAUUUUAUAACAAACCUGUAAUACAUCGCCUAAAUUUUAUAAGGAACCUGCAACCCUUCGUUUUUUUUGCAAACUAACCUGCAAUCUUUCGUUCAUGCACGUUCCUGAUUAUUAUUUAUAACAUAGAAGAAGAUGGUUGGAAUUAUGUAUAUGCUGACAUCUUUGUGUGUUCUCUGCAUAUUAGAAUCUGAAUAAUAACAAAAUGUGUAUAUAUAUAUAUAUAAUAUGGAUAUUUUGUUAUUAUUAAUUUCGGUAUGGCAUAGUUUUCGACGUUAUCAUUCAAAACCUUAACCUCACAAACACAAUAACACAAAUUUAGAAACCCCGCGUGAAGCAAAUAAUUCUAGAUUAGUCAAAACCAAAUAAUAUUUAGUUAAGGAAAGUUUUGAAUAAAACAUUGUUAGAAACACACUCAUAAUCACGGGUAGAAUACAUUCAGGUAUACCACAAUCAAACAUAAAAUUUUAACACACAAUUGAGAAAAUAUAAUAAAUUAC
Molecule: long non-coding RNA, 3827 nt
Organism: Brassica napus (rape)
Lineage: Eukaryota; Viridiplantae; Streptophyta; Magnoliopsida; Brassicales; Brassicaceae
Exons: 8
Source: RefSeq, a predicted model, not a curated record